GAUGAACGCUGGCGGCGUGCCUAAUACAUGCAAGUCGAGCGAACGGACGAGAAGCUUGCUUCUCUGAUGUUAGCGGCGGACGGGUGAGUAACACGUGGAUAACCUACCUAUAAGACUGGGAUAACUUCGGGAAACCGGAGCUAAUACCGGAUAAUAUUUUGAACCGCAUGGUUCAAAAGUGAAAGACGGUCUUGCUGUCACUUAUAGAUGGAUCCGCGCUGCAUUAGCUAGUUGGUAAGGUAACGGCUUACCAAGGCAACGAUGCAUAGCCGACCUGAGAGGGUGAUCGGCCACACUGGAACUGAGACACGGUCCAGACUCCUACGGGAGGCAGCAGUAGGGAAUCUUCCGCAAUGGGCGAAAGCCUGACGGAGCCACGCCGCGUGAGUGAUGAAGGUCUUCGGAUCGUAAAACUCUUUUAUUAGGGAAGAACAUAUGUGUAAGUAACUGUGCACAUCUUGACGGUACCUAAUCAGAAAGCCACGGCUAACUACGUG
This 497-nucleotide ribosomal RNA is filed under the name uncultured bacterium. RNAcentral describes it as "partial 16S ribosomal RNA". It matches the Rfam family "Bacterial small subunit ribosomal RNA", at positions 28 to 507 of the family's 1533-position model. The record is from RNAcentral.